UACAGGGGGGGCAAGCGUUGUUCGGAAUUACUGGGCGUAAAGGGCCAGUAGGCGGCCAACUAAGUCCGACGUGAAAUCCCCAGGCUUAACCUGGGAACUGCGUCGGAUACUGGAUGGCUUGAAUUCGGGAGAGGGAUGCAGAAUUCCAGGUGUAGCGGUGAAAUGCGUAGAUAUCAGGAGGAACACCGGUGGCGAAGGCGGGUCUCUGGGCCGAUACUGACGCUGGAGGAGCGAAAGCGUGGGGAGCGAACAGG
This 254-nucleotide ribosomal RNA is filed under the name uncultured bacterium. RNAcentral describes it as "partial 16S ribosomal RNA". It matches the Rfam family "Bacterial small subunit ribosomal RNA", at positions 524 to 776 of the family's 1533-position model. The record is from RNAcentral.